RNAcentral lists this ribosomal RNA (424 nucleotides) under uncultured prokaryote. Its description in RNAcentral is "bacterial SSU rRNA". It matches the Rfam family "Bacterial small subunit ribosomal RNA", at positions 355 to 796 of the family's 1533-position model. The record is from RNAcentral.
UGGGGAAUAUUGGACAAUGGGCGCAAGCCUGAUCCAGCGAUGCCGCGUGGAUGAUGAAGGCCCUAGGGUUGUAAAGUCCUUUCGAUGGUGAAGAUAAUGACGGUAGCCAUUAAAGAAGCCCCGGCUAAUUUCGUGCCAGCAGCCGCGGUAAUACGAAAGGGGCAAGCGUUGUUCGGAAUUACUGGGCGUAAAGCGCGCGUAGGCGGCAUGCCAAGUUAGGGGUGAAAUCCCGGAGCUCAACUCCGGAACUGCCUCUAAAACUGGCAAGCUAGAGGAUGUGAGAGGAUAGUGGAAUUCCGAGUGUAGAGGUGAAAUUCGUAGAUAUUCGGAAGAACACCAGUGGCGAAGGCGACUGUCUGGCACAUUUCUGACGCUGAGGUGCGAAAGCGUGGGGAGCGAACAGGAUUAGAUACCCCCGUAGUCC